This 253-nucleotide ribosomal RNA is filed under the name uncultured bacterium. RNAcentral's name for it is "partial 16S ribosomal RNA". It matches the Rfam family "Bacterial small subunit ribosomal RNA", at positions 524 to 776 of the family's 1533-position model. The record is from RNAcentral.
CACAGAGGGUGCGAGCGUUAAUCGGAAUUACUGGGCGUAAAGCGUGCGUAGACGGUUAUUUAAGUCGGGGGUGAAAGCCCCGGGCUCAACCUGGGAAUUGCAUUCGAGACUGAAUAGCUAGGGUACGGUAGAGGGAAGCGGAAUUUCCGGUGUAGCGGUGAAAUGCGUAGAUAUCGGAAGGAACAUCAGUGGCGAAAGCGACUCUCUGGACGGCAACUGACGCUGAGGCACGAAAGCGUGGGGAGCAAACAGG